This 435-nucleotide ribosomal RNA is filed under the name Triticum aestivum (bread wheat). RNAcentral's name for it is "partial small subunit ribosomal RNA". Lineage: Eukaryota; Viridiplantae; Streptophyta; Magnoliopsida; Poales; Poaceae. The record is from RNAcentral.
CUGGGCCUGGCCGUAAUUGAAAAGGCAAGGAAAAGACAAGCUUCAAGGAUAUCUUGGCUCAAAAUGGGCGACGCUAGCACCAGAUUUUUCCACGCGAAGAUGUGCUCUCGAAGAAGAAAGAACUUCAUCCAUUCCCUGCACCACAAAGGAGCAACCGUCACCUCUCAUGCAAAGAAAGAAGAGGCAAUCGAGAAGCACUUCAAAGAGCUCAUUGGAACCCUGUCUCCUCGUAGAACAACCCUCAAUUGGCAGCUUCUCCAAUUGCCAACGGUCCAGGCUGCUGGACUUGAUAAUCCUUUCUCCGAGGGCGAGGUUUGGGCAGCAAUAAAAGACUCCCCGAUGGAAAAAGCCCCAGGGCCGGACAGCUUCAUUGGAAUGUUCUUCAGAGUCUCUUGGGAGAUGAUCAAGGGGGACAUCAUGCAAGUGUUUGAGUAG